This 213-nucleotide long non-coding RNA is filed under the name Elaeis guineensis (African oil palm). Its description in RNAcentral is "long non-coding RNA (EGUI_LNC018017)". Lineage: Eukaryota; Viridiplantae; Streptophyta; Magnoliopsida; Arecales; Arecaceae. The record is from RNAcentral.
UGGGAAGAUCAUCUUCCAUUAUUGACGGACAUAUUCUGGGCUUUUUCUUUUGCCAUUGCUCUUUCAAGGUUUGUUUGGUCUCCUACCUAGCAUGCCAAUCUGUUGCAGUCAAUACCCAAGUGCGUCUGACUCCGAUAAAGAGCGGCCUACAAAAUAAGUCUACUGAUCGAAAUUUUAUCCGAUGGGGACCCUCCAAUACCUAAGUUAGUGGAG